Molecule: transfer RNA, 74 nt
Filed under: Pirellula sp.
Lineage: Bacteria; Pseudomonadati; Planctomycetota; Planctomycetia; Pirellulales; Pirellulaceae
Also listed under: 1 other name
Description: tRNA-Arg
Rfam family: tRNA
About the family: Transfer RNA (tRNA) molecules are approximately 80 nucleotides in length. Their secondary structure includes four short double-helical elements and three loops (D, anti-codon, and T loops). Further hydrogen bonds mediate the characteristic L-shaped molecular structure. tRNAs have two regions of fundamental functional importance: the anti-codon, which is responsible for specific mRNA codon recognition, and the 3' end, to which the tRNAs corresponding amino acid is attached (by aminoacyl-tRNA synthetases). tRNAs cope with the degeneracy of the genetic code in two manners: having more than one tRNA (with a specific anti-codon) for a particular amino acid; and 'wobble' base-pairing, i.e. permitting non-standard base-pairing at the 3rd anti-codon position.
Source: RNAcentral
GCACCUGUAGCUCAAUUGGAUAGAGCAUCGGUCUACGGAACCGAAGGUUGAUGGUUCGAGCCCAUCCAGGUGUA